GGUGGGGGUGGGGGUUCAACUAGCCAGUAGUGCUUACUUCUGGCCAUUAAAUCCAUCCCAACCCAGAGAAGAUCUGGAAGGCUCGUAAAAUUAUAUUUGUCUUGCUGCUAAAAAGUCUGCCAAUAGGGAAUCUUCUUCCAGCUGUCGGAAAGGGAUCCAGGUUCUAUUUUGACAACUGCAAUAAGUGGCAACAGCAGAAAAUUCCAUGGCUGGCCAGAGUUCCUCAUUAUAUUGCUAUUUUAAGAUAGAUCUAAAGCAACAUUGUAUAUUUCUUGAAAUAUUACUAUUAUUAUUAUUAUUUUGGUACUGAGGAUUAAACCCAGGGAUGCUUAAAAUAUUGAACCAUAUCCUCAGCUCUUUUUUUACUUCAAGACAGGGUCUUACUAAGUUGCUCAGAGCCUCACUAAGUUGGUGAGGCUGGCUUUGAACUUGCUAUCCUCCUGCCUCAGCCUCCCAAAUCACUGGGAUUACAGGCCUGCACCGCUAUUCCUGGCAAAUUCUUAAGAGCAAAGUAGAUAGAAAGAUGCCACUAACAAAUGGAAGAACACUGAAUAAUCAAGAUUCUUCUCUUGAUAAAGGAAACAAAUUCAAGAUGGAAGGUCAAGAAUCAAAAUGAAACUGUC
Molecule: long non-coding RNA, 623 nt
Filed under: Marmota monax (woodchuck)
Lineage: Eukaryota; Metazoa; Chordata; Mammalia; Rodentia; Sciuridae
Source: RNAcentral